CACGGGGGGAGCAAGCGUUGUUCGGAAUUACUGGGCGUAAAGGGCGUCUAGGCGGAUAGGUAAGUGGGAUGUGAAAUCCCUCGGCUCACCCGAGGACCUGCACCCCAAACUGCCUGUCUUGAGUAUGGGAGAGGAUGAGGGAAUUCCUGGUGUAGCGGUGAAAUGCGUAGAUAUCUGGAGGAACACCGGUGGCGAAGGCGGCAUUCUGGACCGAUAUUGACGCUGAGGAGCGAAAGCCAGGGGAGCAAACGGG
Molecule: ribosomal RNA, 253 nt
Filed under: uncultured bacterium
Lineage: Bacteria
Description: partial 16S ribosomal RNA
Rfam family: Bacterial small subunit ribosomal RNA
Source: RNAcentral